GUGAGGAAUAUUGGGCAAUGGGCGCAAGCCUGACCCAGCAACGCCGCGUGGAGGAUGAAGGCCCUUGGGUCGUAAACUCCUUUUCUGGGGGAAGAGCAAGGACGGUACCUCAGGAAUAAGUCACGGCUAACUACGUGCCAGCAGCCGCGGUAAUACGUAGGUGGCGAGCGUUAUCCGGAAUUACUGGGCGUAAAGCGCACGCAGGUGGUCGAUCAAGUCUGGCGUGAAAGCUCCUGGCUUAACUGGGAGAGGUCGUUGGAAACUGAUCGACUUGAGGCAAUGAGAGGGGUGCGGAAUUCCCGGUGUAGUGGUGGAAUGCGUAGAUAUCGGGGGGAACACCAGUGGCGAAAGCGGCACCCUGGCAUUGUCCUGACACUCAUGUGCGAAGGCGUGGGGAGCGAACGGGAUUAGAAACCCUAGUAGUCC
RNAcentral lists this ribosomal RNA (426 nucleotides) under uncultured bacterium. RNAcentral describes it as "bacterial SSU rRNA". It matches the Rfam family "Bacterial small subunit ribosomal RNA", at positions 354 to 796 of the family's 1533-position model. The record is from RNAcentral.